RNAcentral lists this ribosomal RNA (253 nucleotides) under uncultured bacterium. Its description in RNAcentral is "partial 16S ribosomal RNA". It matches the Rfam family "Bacterial small subunit ribosomal RNA", at positions 524 to 776 of the family's 1533-position model. The record is from RNAcentral.
UACAUGGGGUGCAAACGUUGCUCGGAAUUAUUGGGCGUAAAGCGCACGUAGGCGGUUUGUUAAGUCGGAUGUGAAAUCCCUCGGCUCAACUGAGGAAGUGCAUCCGAAACUGGCAGGCUUGAGUACUAAAGAGGGUCGCGGAAUUCCCGGUGUAGAGGUGAAAUGCGCAGAUAUCAGGAGGAACACCGGUGGCGAAGGCGGGUCUCUGGGCCGUAACUGACGCUGAGGAGCGAAAGCGUGGGGAGCGAACAGG